AGGAACUCUGAAAGACAACAAUGAUUUUACAGCAAGACUAUUUAAGGGAAAGCUGUUUCUAGGGGAAUUGCCUCUCCACAUGGCAUAUUCUGUAAGCUGUCCCUCCUUGUUUCAUGUCUUCUACUCUUUUUUUUCUUUGUUUUAUUUUUUGGUUGAUUAGGCUUCAACUGGUGUUCAAAAUUGAAACCUCACAGCCCGGGGUCACUAAGUUAAAGCUCAUUACUAGUUUUCUACUCCUUUUCUUAAAACCAGUAAUUCAAUUCCGGUAACAUAUAAAAGCCCGAACUGCAAUGCAGGUUAAAUCAGAUGCAGGUUCUAUGCUUGGCCUAUCUCU
This 334-nucleotide unclassified non-coding RNA is filed under the name Hevea brasiliensis (rubber tree). The record is from RNAcentral. Lineage: Eukaryota; Viridiplantae; Streptophyta; Magnoliopsida; Malpighiales; Euphorbiaceae.